UAAUAAUAAAAAAAGUUUUUUUGAACACAUUCAUCAUUAUUUUUUUCUAAAAUACAAAUAUGCAUUAACUAUAUCCUACUGAAAAACAAAUACAUAAUUUUUAAAGCAUAAUUUGAGCUAAAAUAGAAACAUUUGUGAAUUAAUUGUUAACAUUUCAUUGCCUAUUCUAACAGCUGGAAUUCCACCAUAAUGGAAAAUUCUCCAUAUUUGCAUGCCUAAAAAAUGGCAAGGGGUGUUUCCAAGAUGGCCUCCAAGUGAACUGAGAUUAUUGUUUGACAGAGAAACCAAUCCUGUAUUACAGUUUGUCUCCUGUCAGACCAGGUUGUGGCUGACUGUUGCCAGUUCCAUGAUCUAACAUCUGAAUAGUGCCCCAAAAAAGGGAUGGCUGAUUUGAAAACCCAUAUGAGCAAGUCUUGACCUGGUUCAUAACAUUGUGAAUGCAAUACACUAGGGUUUGUGUGUCUUGGGGUUUGAGGGGAAUUGUGCUGGGUAAUUUCUUGGCAGCACCACUGGUGGAUAGUAUGUCUGUGAGGGAAAAGUGAAAAUUAAAAACAUCCACAGUGCUUUCUAAUUCUGUCUCUGCUGCUUUCACUGUCUAUAUCUCUCUCCCUCUCCCUCUCCCUGUUGGUAUGUGCCUUGUUAGACAAACACCACUCCCACGUCAUCAUUAAUACUGUAUUUAUGCCACUUUUUAUUGAAACAGAUUUAACAAUGCACAUAUUUAUAUACUCAGAUAUUAAACACUGAAAAGCCCAGACAUGCAUGUUUCCACUCCCUCCAGCACUAUGGCAGAACUUGCAAUACUUCUCUUAACAUAUUCUGACUAAAUCUCUGUUGCUUUGACAACUUUCCUGUGUUUUCAGAUAUCAGUCCUGCCCCGGGCUGGUUUUGGGGUAAUUACAUUUCGGCAGUUUUCGCCUUGAUGUUGGAAAAACACACUUUUUUGAAGACUUUUGUAGAGGCUGAGAAGGGUCUGGUGUCCCUCUGGGAGAUUUGGAGACCGGAGCCUCAUAUAUAAAAACGUACUUACUGUAUAAUCAUCCUUAACCCUGUAAAGCCUGACAUUUGAAAUGAUAGUCAGGAUUUUUUUUUCUUAAAUGGUUAAUUAAACUGAUUGAAUUGAAUUAAUUUUUUUAUUGAUGUAUUAUCAUAUUUUAUACAUCAUGCUUUCAUGGCUCAUAUAGCUUAAUAUUCAGUAGGAGAAUAUGGAGCUCAUACUCAAAGAGAAAAACUCAAUUUUACUCAGAGGCUGAAACUGAGGAAAAUAUGCAAUUUGAUGCAGUUGCUGAUGUUUUUAUGGUCCAAAAAUAAGUCAGAGAGCUUGUAA
Molecule: long non-coding RNA, 1327 nt
Organism: Cyprinus carpio (common carp)
Lineage: Eukaryota; Metazoa; Chordata; Actinopteri; Cypriniformes; Cyprinidae
Source: Ensembl